Molecule: long non-coding RNA, 266 nt
Filed under: Elaeis guineensis (African oil palm)
Lineage: Eukaryota; Viridiplantae; Streptophyta; Magnoliopsida; Arecales; Arecaceae
Description: long non-coding RNA (EGUI_LNC072381)
Source: RNAcentral
UGGCAUCUUAAAUCAACUAAAGAUCGGCUCAUCUAGAAUUCAUCGGAAGAAAGGUGGAUGAGUAUUGAUGCUGAGUACAUCGAUAGAAUCUCGAUUAUUUAUUUAGAGCUGAUCCAGUCGGCGAUCAAGCUCCUUUAGCUUAUGGUUGUAUUCAUCCAAUCGUCUCUGAGAUUUGUCAGGAUGCUGAGAAUAUCCUGAGGUAGAGCCUUCCCUAGAAGAGCUCGAUGGAGAUGUCUCUUCUCCUUCUGAGAGGCUCGCCGAGGGGA